Molecule: long non-coding RNA, 596 nt
Filed under: Lonchura striata (white-rumped munia)
Lineage: Eukaryota; Metazoa; Chordata; Aves; Passeriformes; Estrildidae
Description: domestica (Bengalese finch) lncRNA (ENSLSDG00000007636.1)
Source: RNAcentral
CAUAAAGACAUUUUGGAGUUGUUGCUUUUGUUUGAAGCAGUGUAGCUCUAUGAUUGAACUUGGUUCUGUUCUUCAACUGCAGCAAUCAAGUGACUGUCAGAGAAACAACAGACUUCAAGAUAAAAGAUGAGGAACCAGAAAAAAACAGUGUACCACUUCAGGAUUACAAAAUAAUCAACUUUGAAAGUAAAGGAAGUUUAAAAAAUGCUGAAGUGACUUCAAGUACAGAAAUUACUCUUCCCACAGGUGUUUCCACCUUUCUCAUAGAGUGUUUAGAUGAAGAUUCAGCUGCAAAUUAUAGCGCUGCUAGUGACAGCCUGAAAACUUACUCAUCUCCUGAAACAUUCAGAGAUGAUGAUUUGGAUCCAGAAAGAUGCAAUUUUUACUCUGUGGACCUUGGCAAGUACAAGAACUCUACUCUCCUGGACUCCAGCAAAGCAGUGACCAUUGAUAAGAUACCACAGAUCUCAAAUCUUUCAGCAAUAUUAGAACCUGUACCAGAGGAUUUUCCAGAGCGAUGCACUAGAAGAAAGAGACCAUCAAGUUACUAUAAAAGCUCUUCAGCAUUAAACGUUUCAGCUACGCUGGCAGCAUGA